GGGUCGUCAUCACUGUAUGCUUUAGCGGCCCUUCUUGCCCUUGUUGGCAGCCAUGGGGUCCUUGCGGAUGCGGAUGCUCUUGGGCGUCACCUCCACCUGCUCGUCGUCGUUGAUGUACUCGAGCGAGUCGUCCAGGCCCAUGCUGCGGGGCUCGUCCAGGCCCACCUUGGUGUCCUUGCCGGCGGCGCGCAUGUUGGUCAGCUGCUUGGUCUUGCAGAUGUUGACCUUCAGGUCUCCCGCCUUGGCGUGCAUGCCAAUCACCUGGCCCUCGUACACCUGGUCGCCGGGGCGGCAGAACAUCUGGCCGCGGUCCUGCGCGCUCUCCAGAGCGUACGUCGUGGCCUGGCCGGUCUCGUGCGCCACCAGAGAGCCGUUCUCGCGCAUCAGAAUCUCGCCCGCAACAGGGGCGUACCUGUGGAGGACAGGGGAGGAGGAAUGGGCCGAUGCCGCAGGUUAGCCACCAGGCAGCGCUGUCUUGCUUCUGCACAGUCUCUGGGUUUACUGCACAGAGCAAAGUAGACGUCGGGUCGCCAUGGCCGCGCACUUACUCGAGGAACAGGGUGUUCAUGACGCCCAGGCCGCGGGUGGCGGUCAGCAGCGAGUUCUUCAGGCCCAGUAGGCCGCGGGUGGCGAUACGGAACUUGAUGCGCGAGGCGCCCUGGAUCGAGGGGAUCAGGUCCACCAUCUCGCCCUUCCGCUGGGCGAACAGCUCCACGACGGCGCCCACGUACUGCUCCGGCACGUCCACAAUGGC
RNAcentral lists this long non-coding RNA (754 nucleotides) under Chlamydomonas reinhardtii. RNAcentral's name for it is "long non-coding RNA (CREI_LNC000621)". The record is from RNAcentral. Lineage: Eukaryota; Viridiplantae; Chlorophyta; Chlorophyceae; Chlamydomonadales; Chlamydomonadaceae.